GAUGAACGCUAGCGAUAGGCUUAACACAUGCAAGUCGAGGGGUAACAUGGAGAGAAGCUUGCUUCACUCUGAUGACGACCGGCGGAUGGGUGAGUAACGCGUAUGCAACUUGCCUCUUAGUGGGGGAUAACCCGGAGAAAUCCGGACUAAUACCGCAUAUUCUUAAUUUCUCGCAUGAGUUAUUAAGGAAAGAUUUAUUGCUAAGAGAUAGGCAUGCGUUCCAUUAGUUAGUUGGUGAGGUAACGGCUCACCAAGGCAUCGAGGGAUAGGGGAGCUGAGAGGCUGAUCCCCCACAUUGGGACUGAGACACGGCCCAAACUCCUACGGGAGGCAGCAGUGAGGAAUAUUGGUCAAUGGAGGAAACUCUGAACCAGCCAAGUCGCGUGAAGGAUGACGGUCCUAUGGAUUGUAAACUUCUUUAGUAGGUGAGUAAGGAUAGGUACGUGUACCUAUUAGAAAGUAGCCUAAGAAUAAGUAUCGGCUAACUCCGUGCCAGCAGCCGCGGUAAUACGGAGGAUACGAGCGUUAUCCGGAUUUAUUGGGUUUAAAGGGUGCGUAGGUGGCUGAUUAAGUCAGUGGUGAAAAGCUAUGGCUCAACCAUAGUCUUGCCGUUGAUACUGGUUAGCUUGAGUGUAGAUGAUGUAGGCGGAAUGCGUAGUGUAGCGGUGAAAUGCAUAGAUAUUACGCAGAACUCCGAUUGCGAAGGCAGCUUACAAAACUACUACUGACACUGAGGCACGAAAGCGUGGGUAUCAAACAGGAUUAGAUACCCUGGUAGUCCACGCCGUAAACGAUGAGUGCUAGGUGUUGGGGGGUCAAACCUCGGUGCCGCAAGCAAACGCAAUAAGCACUCCGCCUGGGGAGUACGUGCACAAGCAUGAAACUCAAAGGAAUUGACGGGGACCCGCACAAGCAGCGGAGCAUGUGGUUUAAUUCGUGGCUACGCGAAGAACCUUACCAGGGCUUGACAUAUAUAUGAGGGGACAUAGAGAUAUGAAACCAGUAAGAGCUUGCUCUUAACAUAUAUACAGGUGGUGCAUGGUUGUCGUCAGCUCGUGUCGUGAGAUGUUGGGUUAAGUCCCGCAACGAGCGCAACCCUUGCAAUUAGUUACUAACAGAUAGUGCUGAGGACUCUAAUUGGACUGCCGAUGAUAAAUCGGAGGAAGGUGGGGAUGACGUCAAAUCAUCAUGCCCCUUAUGUCCUGGGCUACACACGUGCUACAAUGGUCGGUACAAAGAGGAGCGAAAUGGUGACAUCAAGCAAAUCUCAAAAAACCGAUCCCAGUUCGGAUUGUACUCUGCAACUCGAGUACAUGAAGUCGGAGUUGCUAGUAAUCGCGGAUCAGAAUGCCGCGGUGAAUGCGUUCCCGGGUCU
This 1375-nucleotide ribosomal RNA is filed under the name uncultured bacterium. Its description in RNAcentral is "bacterial SSU rRNA". It matches the Rfam family "Bacterial small subunit ribosomal RNA", at positions 28 to 1381 of the family's 1533-position model. The record is from RNAcentral.